GCGCGCCGGGGCUGGCAGGGACCUGGCUUGCUUAGGGUGUCUGGUUCCAGGCGGGUCCGAGGCUGGUGACCACCUCGUUGGCAGGGCACCAGGCUCAGACCUCCCGGCACCAGCGGUGGUACAGCGGUGCCCAUCUGCUCCCUGCCACCUCCGCCAAAGAUGGGUCCUGGGGUGAAGGGAAAAGGCACACACCAGGCGCCACGGCAGGUGAACUCGUCCACAAGUCCGCCCCGGAUGCAAGGACCUUGAGAUCCUGGGGCCGCCGCCGCUGGGAGGCGAGGCGCUGAGUGGGAAAGAACUAAACCCGGUGUUUGAGUACCCUGCAGGGAUCACCUGAAGAAAAAGUGCUGGAAUAGCCAUGAAGCCAGGCAUUCGCAACUGUGAUCCAUAUCCAGUGGAUUGAGAAGAAAGAGUAAGCAAUGGAGGCUGAGCCUAUGAGAAGCCUGAAGACACAGGAAAUAUACUAUUACCUAAGGAAUGGUUGAAUUCAUCAUGUAGUCCAAAGGCUGUAGAAUAUUGAGAUGGGAUUGUGACAGAACUGAAGAGGUCAUAAUAAACCACAGGUCCUGGACUUGAAGACCAGUAUCUCACUUCUGUGUGCGGUGGCUGGAAAUGACCGGUUGUCUCCCAUUGAAGUUAUGUGAGGAUUGGUUGGAUCAUGUGCUAUGAGUAUUUCCUUUGGAUAUCACGGAGUAAAGGUAUGAGUGUGUGUGUGUGAGUGUGUGUGUGUGUGUGUGUGUGUGUGUCUUCAUUAUAUAUGAGAAAUUUUAAACCUCAAGAAAAUAUAGAUGGAAGUCCACUUACUUUUCAUGUGGGGGACUGCUGGCCUACUGUGCCCCAGAAAAUUCAUAUAACCUUUGGUUGGCUUGUUUUGCCCAGUGAUUUUUGAGAUAAUAAAAAUUAUGUUGUUCUUCC
This is a long non-coding RNA of Myotis myotis, 915 nucleotides long. RefSeq lists it as uncharacterized. The record is from RefSeq and is a predicted model, not a curated record. NCBI's taxonomy places the organism in Eukaryota, Metazoa, Chordata, Mammalia, Chiroptera, Vespertilionidae. The transcript has 4 exons.